RNAcentral lists this ribosomal RNA (1513 nucleotides) under uncultured prokaryote. RNAcentral describes it as "partial 16S ribosomal RNA". It matches the Rfam family "Bacterial small subunit ribosomal RNA". The record is from RNAcentral.
GAGUUUGAUUCUGGCUCAGAUUGAAUGCUGACGGCGUGGAUGAGGCAUGCAAGUCGAACGAAGUGCGCAUUCGUGUGCACUUAGUGGCGGAAGGGUUAGUAAUACAUGGGUAAUCUACCUUUAACACCGGGAUAACGGCUGGAAACGGCCGCUAAUGCCGGAUAGGGUGGCUGCAGGAAACUGCGGAUCAUUAAAGUGGGGGACCGGGAGACCGGCCUUGCGGUUAAAGAGGGGCCCAUGGGAUAUCAGCUAGUUGGUGGGGUAAGAGCCUACCAAGGCUAAGACGUCUAGGCGGAUUGAGAGAUUGACCGCCAACACUGGGACUGAGACACUGCCCAGACUCCUACGGGAGGCUGCAGUCGAGAAUAUUUCGCAAUGGGCGAAAGCCUGACGAAGCGACGCCGUGUGAGUGAAGAAGGCCUUCGGGUCGUAAAGCUCUUUCGCCUAGGAACAAGAGAAAUCGGAGAAUAUCCGACGUAUUUGAGCGUACUAGGUAAAGAAGCACCGGCUAACUCCGUGCCAGCAGCUGCGGUAAUACGGAGGGUGCAAGCAUUAAUCGGAUUUAUUGGGCGUAAAGGGCGCGUAGGUGGGAAUGUAAGCAAGACGUGAAAUCCCGGGGCUUAACCCCGGAACUGCAUUUUGAACUGCAUUUCUAAGAGGAUAGGCGGAGAAAACGGAAUUCCACAUGUAGCGGUGAAAUGCGUAGAUAUGUGGAAGAACACCGGUGGCGAAGGCGGUUUUCUAGCUUAUUCCUGACGCUGAGGCGCGAAAGCGAGGGGAGCAAACAGGAUUAGAUACCCUGGUAGUCCUCGCCGUAAACGAUGUGUACUUGGUGUAGCCGGACUCAACCCCGGUUGUGCCGUAGCUAACGCGUUAAGUACACCGCCUGGGAAGUACGCCCGCAAGGGUGAAACUCAAAAGAAUUGACGGGGACCCGCACAAGCAGUGGAGCAUGUGGUUUAAUUCGAUGCAACGCGAAGAACCUUACCCAGGCUUGACAUGCAGAAGAUAACACCAGAGAUGGUGCGUUCCUUCGGGACUUCUGCACAGGUGCUGCAUGGCUGUCGUCAGCUCGUGCCGUGAGGUGUUGGGUUAAGUCCCGCAACGAGCGCAACCCUUAUCGUUAGUUGCCAGCAUUUAGGAUGGGAACUCUAACGAGACUGCCUGGGUUAACCAGGAGGAAGGUGAGGAUGACGUCAAGUCCGCAUGGCCCUUAUGCCUGGGGCUACACACGUGCUACAAUGGUCGGUACAGAAGGCAGCUAAGCCGCGAGGUGGAGCAAAUCCAGAAAGCCGGUCCCAGUUCGGAUUGUAGUCUGCAACUCGACUACAUGAAGUCGGAAUUGCUAGUAAUGGCGUGUCAGCAACAACGCCGUGAAUACGUUCCCGGGUCUUGUACACACCGCCCGUCAAAUCAUGGAAGUUGGUUUUACCCGAAGUCGCUGACUUAACCGCAAGGGAAGAGGCGCCGAAGGUGAGGCUGAUGACUAGGAUGAAGUCGUAACAAGGUAGCC